RNAcentral lists this transfer RNA (72 nucleotides) under Cytophagales bacterium. RNAcentral's name for it is "tRNA-Cys". It matches the Rfam family "tRNA". From Rfam's summary of the family: Transfer RNA (tRNA) molecules are approximately 80 nucleotides in length. Their secondary structure includes four short double-helical elements and three loops (D, anti-codon, and T loops). The record is from RNAcentral. Lineage: Bacteria; Pseudomonadati; Bacteroidota; Cytophagia; Cytophagales.
GGUAGCUUAGUCUAGAGGCUAGGCAAAGGUCUGCAAAACCUUUUUACGUGGGUUCGAAUCCCUCAGCUACCU